AUGAAAAUGUACUACCAUUGGUCAAUUUAUACGUAUACGGAACAGAGUUAGGUAUUGUUUAUUUGAAAGAAUAAAAUGAUGCUUUAUUUGAAACAAUUCUUUAUUCUCGUUAUCUAUAAAUUAGUUUCGAAAAUUGUGCAGCACAUAGCAAUUAGCAAAUUCGUAUUGUUACAACAAUACGAAUGUCCCAAGUCACACCACAAGAAAGUUGCUGCAAAUGGUGAUCCGCCUUAUCUUUGACGACCUAUCUAAACACGUAGAGACCUUAUUGUGCCAUUUAUUUCGUUCAUAUGUUCAUUAUGAUACACCUUUAAACGAGAGGAGCUGCCUUGGAAAAAUGAAACACAUGAAACUAAAGAAAAAUUUCUUUACAAGUUUUGUGCAAACUCGUGAACGUAACGCCUUAAAGACGACCACAAAAUGGUGGCCGUCUCUCUUCGGUAUUAGGUUCACGAAUUUUACAAAUUCUCUUAUGCUCAUCCAGAACAUAAUGAAACCGAAUUACACAAUGCGGAUGAUGUAGAACACUCAAUCCGAGAACUUAUGAAAUGAAAUAAUGACACUCGGUCAAGCUUGAACAUAAUACGAGAAGAUUGAGCGACUUUCUGAUAACAAAAGUGUGAUAAGACAUCCUACCUAACACGCGUUCAAGCUAGACUGAAAUAGCAUCGUUAAGCAGUUGCUUAUAUGUUUGCAUUUUGUUAACGACCGUGCUGCCACUGGGGCUGACUCUAGAUUACAAUUCAAUGUAAUUGGUCAUUACAGCUAUGAAGAAAAGAAGAAAUUGUUUCCAUUUGUAUAGAAAAUGGCGUCUUAUCUGAACAGCGAUGGAAAUGACAUCUGUUGGAAGCGUACCUAAUGCACGAGAAGACCGAAGACACUCUUUUAUUGUUCUAGAAAGUUCUGUACAACGGUUAUGAGUCAUGAGAUUUACUUACUUUAUGUUUAGAAACUUUAGUUUCAGAAACUGUAAAAUGAUGUUUACGCUAAACUGAGCAGGAAUGCCAGUUAUGAGAAUUGAGUUUCUGGGAAUUAUCGAAACAUUAUAAAUGAACUACUUUUAUUUGCAAAUUUUAAUUACAUUCGCAUGCGUAUCAUUGGAAUCAUCAGUAUUCAGAAUAUUUGAUAUUCUAUUAACGACAUACGUAUAAAAAGAUAGAAUCUGCACGUUUCUUCUCAUAACACCUGGGAAAUAAAUAUUCAA
Non-coding RNA from Osmia lignaria (orchard mason bee), 1204 nucleotides. The record is from RefSeq and is a predicted model, not a curated record. Lineage: Eukaryota; Metazoa; Arthropoda; Insecta; Hymenoptera; Megachilidae.